RNAcentral lists this ribosomal RNA (424 nucleotides) under Verrucomicrobiota bacterium. Its description in RNAcentral is "Verrucomicrobia bacterium partial 16S ribosomal RNA". It matches the Rfam family "Bacterial small subunit ribosomal RNA", at positions 355 to 776 of the family's 1533-position model. The record is from RNAcentral. Lineage: Bacteria; Pseudomonadati; Verrucomicrobiota.
UGAGGAAUAUUGGUCAAUGGACGCAAGUCUGAACCAGCCAAGUAGCGUGCAGGAUGACGGCCCUAUGGGUUGUAAACUGCUUUUAUAUGGGGAUAAAGUGGGGAACGUGUUCCCUUUUGCAGGUACCAUAUGAAUAAGGACCGGCUAAUUCCGUGCCAGCAGCCGCGGUAAUACGGAAGGUUCGGGCGUUAUCCGGAUUUAUUGGGUUUAAAGGGAGCGUAGGCCGUUUGGUAAGCGUGUUGUGAAAUGUAGGAGCUCAACUUCUAGAUUGCAGCGCGAACUGUCAGACUUGAGUGCGCACAACGUAGGCGGAAUUCAUUGUGUAGCGGUGAAAUGCUUAGAUAUCAUGAAGAACUCCGAUUGCGAAUGCAGCUUACGGGAGCGCAACUGACGCUGAAGCUCGAAGGUGCGGGUAUCGAACAGG